GCCCGGGUGGUGAAAUGGCAGACACGCUAGACUUAGGAUCUAGUGCCGCAAGGUGUGGAGGUUCAAGUCCUCUCCCGGGCA
RNAcentral lists this transfer RNA (81 nucleotides) under Chlamydiae bacterium RIFCSPHIGHO2_12_FULL_49_11. Its description in RNAcentral is "tRNA-Leu". It matches the Rfam family "tRNA". From Rfam's summary of the family: Transfer RNA (tRNA) molecules are approximately 80 nucleotides in length. Their secondary structure includes four short double-helical elements and three loops (D, anti-codon, and T loops). Further hydrogen bonds mediate the characteristic L-shaped molecular structure. tRNAs have two regions of fundamental functional importance: the anti-codon, which is responsible for specific mRNA codon recognition, and the 3' end, to which the tRNAs corresponding amino acid is attached (by aminoacyl-tRNA synthetases). tRNAs cope with the degeneracy of the genetic code in two manners: having more than one tRNA (with a specific anti-codon) for a particular amino acid; and 'wobble' base-pairing, i.e. permitting non-standard base-pairing at the 3rd anti-codon position. The record is from RNAcentral. Lineage: Bacteria; Pseudomonadati; Chlamydiota.